AAUCAACGCUGGCGGCGUGCCUAACACAUGCAAGUCGAGCGCGAAAGGGGAGCAAUCCCAAGUAGAGCGGCGAACGGGUGAGUAACGCGUGGGUAAUCUGCCUCCGAGUGGGGAACAACACCGGGAAACUGGUGCUAAUACCGCAUGACAUCGUUGGACCUUCGGAUCUGACGAUCAAAGCCGGGGACCGCAAGGCCUGGCGCUUGGAGAGGAGCCCGCGUCCGAUUAGCAGUUGGUGGGGUAAUGGCCCACCAAGGCUACGAUCGGUAGCCGGCCUGAGAGGGCGGACGGCCACACUGGGACUGAGACACGGCCCAGACUCCUACGGGAGGCAGCAGUGGGGAAUUUUCGCAAUGGGCGAAAGCCUGACGAAGCAACGCCGCGUGGAGGAUGAAGGCC
This 399-nucleotide ribosomal RNA is filed under the name uncultured bacterium. Its description in RNAcentral is "bacterial SSU rRNA". It matches the Rfam family "Bacterial small subunit ribosomal RNA", at positions 29 to 416 of the family's 1533-position model. The record is from RNAcentral.